UCACUGCUGAAGAGUCCCACAACAGGAUGAAACGGCCGUCCAGUGC
RNAcentral lists this non-coding RNA (46 nucleotides) under Schistosoma margrebowiei. The record is from RNAcentral. Lineage: Eukaryota; Metazoa; Platyhelminthes; Trematoda; Strigeidida; Schistosomatidae.